Molecule: ribosomal RNA, 119 nt
Filed under: Triticum aestivum (bread wheat)
Lineage: Eukaryota; Viridiplantae; Streptophyta; Magnoliopsida; Poales; Poaceae
Also listed under: 2 other names
Source: RNAcentral
GGAUGCGAUCAUACCAGCACUAAAGCACCGUAUCCCAUCAGAACUCCGAAGUUAAGCGUGCUUGGGCGAGAGUAGUACUAGGAUGGGUGACCUCCUGGGAAGUCCUCGUGUUGCAUUCC